AGCUCCAAGAGCGUAUAUUAAAGUUCUUGCAGUUGAAAAGCUCGUAGUUGGAUUUCUGGUACAACGCGCCUGGCCCGCUUUUGUGAGUGCCGGUGCGCGUUUGCCAUCCUUCUAGAAAACGUUUCUACCCGGGUAACUGGGCCGGACUCGCGAUCUAGAUCUUUUACUUUGAAAAAAUUAGAGUGUUUAAAGCAGGCUUUUGCUGUGAAUACAUUAGCAUGGAAUAAUGAUCUAGGACUUCGGUUCUAUUCUGUUGGUUUCUAGUACUGAAGUAAUGAUUGAUAGGGAUAGUUGGGGGUGCUAGUAUUGGCCGGCCAGAGGUGAAAUUCUUGGAUUCGGUCAAGACUAACCUAUGCGAAAGCAUUCACCAAGAAAGUCUUCU
RNAcentral lists this ribosomal RNA (382 nucleotides) under uncultured eukaryote. RNAcentral's name for it is "SSU rRNA". It matches the Rfam family "Eukaryotic small subunit ribosomal RNA", at positions 587 to 972 of the family's 1831-position model. The record is from RNAcentral.